AUUGAACGCUGGCGGCAGGCCUAACACAUGCAAGUCGAGCGGAUGAAGGGAGCUUGCUCCUGGAUUCAGCGGCGGACGGGUGAGUAAUGCCUAGGAAUCUGCCUGGUAGUGGGGGAUAACGUCCGGAAACGGGCGCUAAUACCGCAUACGUCCUGAGGGAGAAAGUGGGGGAUCUUCGGACCUCACGCUAUCAGAUGAGCCUAGGUCGGAUUAGCUAGUUGGUGGGGUAAAGGCCUACCAAGGCGACGAUCCGUAACUGGUCUGAGAGGAUGAUCAGUCACACUGGAACUUGACCACGGUCCAGACUCCUACGGGGGGCAGCAGUGGGGAAUAUUGGACAAUGGGCGAAAGCCUGAUCCAGCCAUGCCGCGUGUGUGAAGAAGGUCUUCGGAUUGUAAAGCACUUUAAGUUGGGAGGAAGGGCAGUAAGUUAAUACCUUGCUGUUUUGACGUUACCAACAGAAUAAGCACCGGCUAACUUCGUG
RNAcentral lists this ribosomal RNA (484 nucleotides) under uncultured bacterium. RNAcentral's name for it is "partial 16S ribosomal RNA". It matches the Rfam family "Bacterial small subunit ribosomal RNA", at positions 30 to 507 of the family's 1533-position model. The record is from RNAcentral.